CUUAUGUCAAUGGUCUUAAUUCCUCAGUUAAAACAUGUAGAUUGGAAGAUGGGAUUGAAGAAUAAGACCCAACUGAAUGUUGUCUCCAAGAAACACACCUCACAGGCAAAUAAAUCAACAGACUAAAAGUAAAAUGAUGGAAAAUGAUUUUAUAUGCAAAUGGAAUUCAAAUGUAAGCAGAGUCCCUAUUGUCAUGUCAAACAAAGAAGACUUUAAGACAAAACUGGUCAGAAGAGACAAAAAAGGUUUAUCACAUUGGUAAAGGGAACACUGCAACAAGAAGAUAUGACAAUUAUAAAUAUUUAUGCCCUGAAUGUCAGUUUGCCCAAUUUCAUAAAACAAACAUUACUAAAUAUAAAGGGUAUAAUGGGCCUAAUGCAAUAAUUGUGGGAGACUUCAGUGUAUCACUCUCACUAAUAAGUCAUCUACACACAAAAAAAUACAUCAGAUUUAAAUUAUAUUAUUGAUAAAACAACUUAACAGAUAUCUACAGAAUAUUUUAUCCAACAAUGGCUGAAUAAGCUUCCAUUUUAGCACUGGUUUUUCCAAAAUUGAUCAUAUUUUAAGGCAUAAAAUCUCAGCAAAUAAAAAAGAUUUGGUUUCAUACUCUUUUCAUAUAUUAAAGGAAUUAAAUUAGAAAUUAACAGCAAGAAAAGCUAUAGAAACUAUGCAAAUCCAUGGAGAAUUCAUUGAACAAUACACUUGAAUGAUUAAUGGGUUAUACAGUUAACCAUGGUGGACAUUUUAAAAUUCUUAGAAUUAAACAAAACUGGAAACACAAUAUACUAGAAGCUUUGGGGUAUGGUAAAAACUGUUAUAAGAGGAAAGUUUAUAGCAAUACAUGCCUGCAUAAAACAGCAGAGAGAUCUCAAAUAAUUGAACUGCUUAUUUGCAAACCAAUACCAAAAGUAAUAGAAAUAAAUAAUACAGAUCACAGCCAAAUUCAAGAAAUAGAAACAUAAAUAAUAGUAAAAAGGAUUAAGGAAGAGUUAGUUCUUUGAAACUAUAAUCAGUUUUUUAAAGUAGCUAAAAUAAUGAAAACAAAACAGAAGACCUAAAUAAAGUUAGAGAUUAAAAUGGAAAUAUUAGUGCAGACAAAACUGAAAUCUAUAGGGUCAUUAUAGACUAUUUUGAAAACUUAUAUUCCAAUAAAAUAAAAAUAUUUAGUAAAAGGAUAAUUUUUUAGACAUAUAUGAUCUACCAAAAUUAGAACAACAGGACAUGAUGAAUUCAUCAAUGAGACUGAAGCAGUGACAAAAAUGUCUUCCAACAAAGAAAAGCCCAGGACCAGAUGGAGUCAUAGCUGUAUUAUACUAGAUCAUUAAAUAUUAAUGCAAGUACCCCUCAAAUUAUCCCAUGAAUUAGAAAAGGAGAAAUGCUUCAAAACUCAUUCUACAAAGCCACUAUCAACCUGAUAGCCAAACUCAAUAAGAACACCCAAGAAAAGGAAAUACAGACCAAUUUCUUUGAUGGAUAUAAAUGUAAAACUCCUUAAUAAAAUAUUAGCAAAUAUUCAAUAAUGCAUCAAUUGUCACACACCAUAUUCAAGUUGGUUUUAUUUCAGGGAUGCAAAGAUAGUUCAACAUAGGUAAAUCAAUAAAUGUUAAUUCAUUACAUAAAUAGAAGUAAAGAUAAAUAUCACAUUAUCAUCUCAAUAAGAGCAGAAAAGUCAUUUGAGAAAAUUGAACAUCACUUCUUAAUGAAAACAAUAAAGAAACUAGGGAUAGAGGGAAC
RNAcentral lists this long non-coding RNA (1734 nucleotides) under Marmota monax (woodchuck). The record is from RNAcentral. Lineage: Eukaryota; Metazoa; Chordata; Mammalia; Rodentia; Sciuridae.